CCUACGGGCGGCAGCAGUGAGGAAUAUUGGUCAAUGGACGAGAGCCUGAACCAGCCAAGUAGCGUGAAGGAUGACUGCCCUACGGGUUGUAAACUUCUUUUAUACGGGAAUAACGUGUUCCACGUGUGGGAUUUUGUAUGUACCAUAUGAAUAAGGAUCGGCUAACUCCGUGCCAGCAGCCGCGGUAAUACGGAGGAUCCGAGCGUUAUCCGGAUUUAUUGGGUUUAAAGGGAGCGUAGGUGGAUUGUUAAGUCAGUUGUGAAAGUUUUCGGCUCAACCGGAAAAUUGCAGUUGAAACUGGCAGUCUUGAGUACAGUAGAGGUAGGCGGAAUUCGUGAUGUAGCGGUGAAAUGCUUAGAUAUCACGAAGAACGCCGAUUGCGAAGGCAGCUCACUGGACUACAACUGACACUGAUGCUCGAAAGUGUGGGUAUCAAACAGGAUUAGAUACCCUGGUAGUC
This 460-nucleotide ribosomal RNA is filed under the name uncultured bacterium. Its description in RNAcentral is "partial 16S ribosomal RNA". It matches the Rfam family "Bacterial small subunit ribosomal RNA", at positions 338 to 795 of the family's 1533-position model. The record is from RNAcentral.